Molecule: ribosomal RNA, 465 nt
Filed under: Vreelandella stevensii
Lineage: Bacteria; Pseudomonadati; Pseudomonadota; Gammaproteobacteria; Oceanospirillales; Halomonadaceae
Description: partial 16S ribosomal RNA
Rfam family: Bacterial small subunit ribosomal RNA
Source: RNAcentral
CCUACGGGAGGCAGCAGUGGGGAAUAUUGGACAAUGGGCGAAAGCCUGAUCCAGCCAUGCCGCGUGUGUGAAGAAGGCCUUCGGGUUGUAAAGCACUUUCAGUGGGGGAGAAAGCCUUGGGGCUAAUACCCUCGAGGAAGGACAUCACCCACAGAAGAAGCACCGGCUAACUCCGUGCCAGCAGCCGCGGUAAUACGGAGGGUGCGAGCGUUAAUCGGAAUUACUGGGCGUAAAGCGCGCGUAGGCGGUCUGAUAAGCCGGUUGUGAAAGCCCCGGGCUCAACCUGGGAACGGCAUCCGGAACUGUCAGGCUAGAGUACAGGAGAGGAAGGUAGAAUUCCCGGUGUAGCGGUGAAAUGCGUAGAGAUCGGGAGGAAUACCAGUGGCGAAGGCGGCCUUCUGGACUGACACUGACGCUGAGGUGCGAAAGCGUGGGUAGCAAACAGGAUUAGAUACCCGUGUAGUC